CUACGGGGGGCUGCAGUGAGGAAUAUUGGUCAAUGGGCGCGAGCCUGAACCAGCCAUCCCGCGUGCAGGAUGACGACCCUAUGGGUUGUAAACUGCUUUUCUAUGCCAAGAAACCCUGUUACGAGUAACAGGUUGCCGGUAGCAUAGGAAUAAGCAUCGGCUAACUCCGUGCCAGCAGCCGCGGUAAUACGGAGGAUGCAAGCGUUAUCCGGAUUCAUUGGGUUUAAAGGGUGCGCAGGUGGGCUUGUAAGUCAGUGGUGAAAUGCUGCCGCUUAACGGUAGAACUGCCAUUGAUACUGCGAGUCUUGAGUAUGGUUGAGGUAGGCGGAAUGUGUUGUGUAGCGGUGAAAUGCAUAGAUAUGACACAGAACGCCAAUUGCGAAGGCAGCUUACUAAGCCAUUACUGACGCUGAGGCACGAAAGCGUGGGGAGCGAACAGGAUUAGAUACCCGGGUAGUC
This 459-nucleotide ribosomal RNA is filed under the name uncultured bacterium. Its description in RNAcentral is "partial 16S ribosomal RNA". It matches the Rfam family "Bacterial small subunit ribosomal RNA", at positions 339 to 795 of the family's 1533-position model. The record is from RNAcentral.